GUUAGAAUUAAGUAUGACUAGGUUCAUGGAAAAUCCCCAGCCAGCUGCAGAAAACUAAUACAAAUCUGAUGGUCAAGAUAAAUAAUAUGAUAAAGUUCUGCUAACUAAUAGAUAUGACAAACCUGUGACCUUUCUGACAACCUGUCAACAUCAGCCUAUUCCCUGACCACACGAAUAUUGUGUCCUUGGCCUGCGUAAAUGUUUCACACUUCCCCCCUCCCUCUGUUACCCAUGUUAUGGUAUAAAUUCAGCCCUGGGAAAAAUGAAGUUGUCGCCUUGAUCAGACUCUUGUCUUGGCGUCCUUCUUCGCGUCUCUUGUCCCCCAUUUUCUUCCAGGUACCCCCCCAGGAUCCCUUCGCUUACACACAUUCAUUUAUUUAGUGUGUGUGUGUGUGUGUGUGUGUGUGUGCGCACGCGCACACGCUGGUGUUCUGUAGAAGUAGAUUCCAACAGAUGGCAAGUAAACACAAGCAGGCAAAGAAGUGAAUCUUCUUCUUCCAAUGUCCCUAUGUAGGUGUUCUGUAGAAGGCGUGGCCCAAAUGAAAGGUGUGUACCACCACACCUGGAUCUGGGACUUGCUUUGUCCCAGGCUGGCCUUGAACUCCGAGAUCUCCUUGCCUCGAUUUCCUGGGAUUAAAGGUGUGUACUAUGUUGCCUGGGCGUGUCAGUUGCUGAGUGCCGGAUUACAGAUCCUCUCAACCUCCCUGCUCAUCCAACUUUCUGUUCAAGAAACAAGCUGGACGGUGAUGGUGCACACCUUUAAUCCCAGCACGCCAGCGGCAGAAGCAGGGGCACCUCUGAGUUUGAGGCCAACCUGGUCUACAGAGCAAGUUCCAGUACAGCCAGGAGGGCUACGCAGAAAAGCCCUGUUUCAAAACAGAAAUGGAAAGGAAGGAAGGAGGGAAGGAAGGAAGGAAGGACAACAGCAAAACAAGAAACAAACAACCCCUCCCCCAAACACAGAAAAACAAAAUGAAAAUCCAACUCUUAGCACUCAAGAGGUUAAAGCAAAAAGGUUGUUGUAAAUUUAAGGCCAGUAUGGGAGACAGUGAAUUAGUUCCAGAUCAACUGGGACUACAGUCAGACUUUGUCUCAAAAAAAAGGUAAGAUUCCAUAGGUCACACAGCUGUGGUAACAUGGUGACACAGCUGUUGAAGCCCCAAACCCUUGACAAUUUUGCCAAUGAGCCCUCUCCUUCCCCUUUAGUUCAGGAAAGCUUUUUAAUGUGCUUUGCUUAGAUCACCCACAAUCACACAAUUACAUGAAACAAACCACUGGGAAUUCUUCCAACUCCCAAAAGUGUAGCAGAUAUUGAGAAAGAUUUCUGUUCUAAACAAGGUAAGCAAAAGGAUUUAAGAGUGAUUUCUGCUCAUUUCUUUCCACUACAAAGAAGGUUGCUAUUCUUAGGCUUGGGUAGAAUCUUUUCUAGAAGGUGAUGCUUGAGCAGUCUUUGACUUGUGUGUUUUGUUUCUCAUUCUUAUCUACUGUUAUACACAACAAACAGAUUCUUCACCUGGAAAAAAUCUGGAUUUAUUUGAAUAUGCAGAUUUCAACAAUCUGAGAUUGCCAAGUCCCCCAAAGCUUCUGGCUUUCUAUUCAUUCUGUGCCCAGUGGCUUUGUGUGUCUCUAAGGCAGCCGUUUUACCACACAGACUUCUCUCACUGCCCAAGACUCCUCCAAUCUACAGCCAACACUGAACUUUUCCUCUUGGAACUCUCCAAAACUCAGUUUCCAUGUCAAGAAUUUUGCAUGACAUCAUCCCUUCCCCCCUUCUCUAUGUCUUUCUCUCAUAUUUUUUAAAGAUUUAUUUACUUAUUAUAUGUAGCUGUAUUCAGACACACCAGAAGAGGGCAUCAGACCUCAUUAUGGAUGGUUGUGAACCACCCUGUGGUUGAUGGGAUUUGAACUCAGGAUGUCUAGAAGAGCAGUCAGCGCUCUUAACCAUUGAAUCAUCCCUCUAGCCCUCCUCUCCUAUUUUUAAGAGAACUUAAACUUUGUGGGGGUUGGUGAAAUGGCUUAGCAGGUAAAGGCAUUUGCCCCCAAGCCUAAUGUCUCUUGGAGUUCAAUCCCUGGAACCACACCACCCCCACCGCCCCCGAACGUACUUUAAAAAACAUUCAGUGAUAUUUAUUGCCGUACUUGUUAAAGGCAGACUUUUCUUAGGACCUCAUAAUAGGCAUAGGGAUUACCUUAGUGGGAUUUCUGCAGUAGGAGAAAAAGGUUGGUCUCAGCUCACAAAAUAGCAAGGACAAGUGGGAGUUUAUAGCUGAGAAGCAGGGUGGGAGUCAGCAAAAGAAGGGAGGAUGGAUGGAUGGAUAGAUGGGGAUUCUGGACAACCUGACCUAAGAAAUUUAGAAAUUUACUUAGGGAUCAAAGGUACCUAGGCCUUGAAGCUAGGGGGCGCUGCAAAAAUGACCUAACAGGAUUUUUACAAAAACUAGAUUUCAUAAGGAAGUGCAUAGAUUGGGUUUUAGGAGACUGAUGAGGUUUGGUCAGAUGAGAUGUUUAUCAGAACAACCUUAUUCACUACUCACUCAGGAUAUCUUUUCUUCGCGGAGUUCAGUGUCGUUAAGCUCUCAGCUGAUAGGAUAUAGCAACCAGAAGAGAUCAGCCAGCCUAAGUCCUGCCUGAAGCGACCCUGUGGGCAACACUGACCACUGCAAACAGGACAUCAGGGAACUGUGAGUUCUCGUCCCAUCAUGCUCACAGUGUUCAACACUGUCGUGAGCCGAAGUUGAGGCCUUGGAGGAGAUGGCUGUGGCCCUGGACAGCAUUUUCUUGGCCUGCUGGCCUCUGCGAUUUGCUGGCGGCCAUGUGAUUUUUAUUUGGCUAGAUGACUGCAAUGGACUAUCCUGUGCCAUUUUCAUUUCCUCAAGUUCGUUUCUGAAUCCUUGCAUGUCUGGUACCUGGGCAUAUGGAAGGAAGCAGAUAGAAGAGAUGAGUCUACAGCUGGGAAUGGUGGGAGUUGGUCCUGGAGGUCUAAUACAAAUGAAAUCUCUGGUUAACCUAAAUGUCUAAAGAUUCUCUUAAGUGAACAUCCCAUCUCCAAGACAUUAUUGUCUAGGAUCUCUUGCCCCUUGUUCAGCCAGGGCACAAGCUGAUCUCCACUGAUAAGUCACUCAGUAGCCACAGGAUAUAGAAGACUUAUCUUUUUUUUUACCACUAUACAUCUAAAAGUUUCCCAAAAAAUGGGAAACACAUUUCCCUUUUUUGUUGUUGUUGUUAUUUUGCUUGUUCGUUGCAGGGUCUCACAGCUGACUAGACUGGAAUUCUUGGUAGUCCUAUUUUCUAGCCUCUUGUGCUAGAACUGUAGGCACGUUUCCCUGCCAUCCAUCCUCAACUGUCCUCCAACUCCUACACUACUCAGGAUUAAAUCCAGGACUUUGCAUACUUGGCAGACACUGUGCAACUAAACUCUAUCUCUAGCCCCAUACUUGUAAUAUGAGAGAUGUGGCAGCGAAUGCCUGAAAUUCUAGUACUUGGGAGGCAAGAGGAACAGUUUGAGUUCAAGGCCAGCUUGGGCUACAACGUUUAGUUCCAGCCAGUCUAUGCUAUAUAGGGAAGGUCCAUCUCAAACAACACAAAACAACACAAAACAACAAACCAAACAGCAAUGAAAAUACCUAAAACCCAAAGAAAAAACAUUACCAUGUUUAUAUUAUGGGGAUUUUUAUUCUCUUGGGGAAUUGUACAUUGGCAGCUAGUUUGUGAGUUUUAAUCAGCAUAGGUGAUUAAGGAUGAGCUGAUGUCAUGAUUCAUGCCUGUAAUCCCAUGUUGUGUAACUUCUCUUGGGGAGAGGUGAACAAAGUCUAUUCACCCAAGAUGAGGUACCAAUAACAGAUCAGAGAAACAUCCCACACACAUCUGGCUCAGUGAGCAAAUAUUAUUGGGUUAUUUGUUUACUGGAGGUACAGGAAAAUGGUUACUUGUAGGAACAUGGAUAACUCAAAUGUCAUUGAAAAGCCCACUGAAGCAUGGGUGACAAACUGCUUUUUCCUUAGAGUGCCACACAAUUUAUAGACAGUGUGGCUGGUUAGAACCUCUUCUCCGGCAAUUGCUGCUGCUUAUAGUAACAGUAGGUGGGGACCUAUGAAUCUUCUGACUUUCAGGAGCUUCCUGAGCCUUGGAUAUUUCAUUUACUUCCUCUUCAAUAUGGAAUCAUAAAAUUCAGAGGAAAUAGCUACACAACAUCUCAGUCUUGGGAGGCCGAGACAAGAGGAUUGCUGUGGGUUCAAGGCAUGCUAUAAAGUGAGUUCAAGGUCAGAAUGGACAGUAGUCUGAGACCUUGACUCUUAGGGAAGGAGGGAGGGAGAGAGAGAUGGAGAGGGAAAGGUAGAUAGAGAUUAAAGGUAGAAAUGGCCAGUCAUGGUGUCAUACACCUUUAAUCCUCAGAAGGAGAGACAAAAGAAUCUCUGUGAGUUCAAAGCCAGCCUGGUUUACAUAGUGAGUUAUAUUCCAACUAGAGAUACAUAGACUCUGUCUCAAACAAGCAAACAAACUAAUGACAUAAUGACAAACAACAACAGCAACAAAACACCUAAAACCAAAAAGAAAAAAUAUCAUUACUAAAUCUGUACUAUUCCAGUUUUUCUACUCUUGGUGGAUGUCACUGUAUCAGCUGGUCUCAGUGUGUGUGUGUGUGUGUGUGUGUGUCUGUAAUGCUUUCAAAUCCUCACAAAACCAAUGACAAAAUAACUAAUAUUGAAUAUGAAAUUCCAGGUGUCUUACAUAAUUUAAUUUCUAUGUAGCCCAGACUAGCCCUAAAGUCAAAAUACUCCUGCCUUAGUACCCAGAGUGCUGAGUGUAGAGACUUGCGCCACCAUGCUCAGCUGGAACACUGGGGUUUGAAAUCAAGUAUUCUCAAAGACCAAACUGUUUCCCAGUUCCAGUAUUUUCCUUAUUACUCCUUCCUCUGAGUAUUGCACAUGGAGUCUUUUUUUUAAAGAUGUAUUAGUUAUUUGUGUAAUG
Molecule: long non-coding RNA, 4968 nt
Filed under: Rattus norvegicus (Norway rat)
Lineage: Eukaryota; Metazoa; Chordata; Mammalia; Rodentia; Muridae
Description: long non-coding RNA NONRATT033599
Source: RNAcentral